Zea mays is the source of this 411-nucleotide long non-coding RNA. RefSeq lists it as uncharacterized. The transcript has 5 exons. The record is from RefSeq and is a predicted model, not a curated record. Lineage: Eukaryota; Viridiplantae; Streptophyta; Magnoliopsida; Poales; Poaceae.
AUGGUUAAUACAAUUGUAGAGCGCAUUUCUAUGAGAAAUCGAGUUUUGACCAGAACAGAUCAGAUGCAAGAAGAUAUUGAAAUGAAAUUGAUGGCUACCAGAAUUCACAGGGCAUCCAUUACCAAGGGAUGGAGCUCAAGGACACGCCUGCACCGCUAGAGAAGUUUUUUGCAAUUGCGAAGGGAAAGUACUAAUGUUGAGGACAUGUUUCUUGCUCAUAUCUUUGGAAUGGACACUCUGGCCUGUGGCCUCCACAACGUUGUCAAGCUGAUUGAGAUGAUCUUUUCCGCAAAGCGGUACCAGAGUUUUGAUAGUGAGAUUGGUGCCUUGAUCGAGGAUGGGAAAGGAGACUUUGAGAUGCUAAAAAAGAAGGUUCUAGAGUGCAGUGCACUGUUCCAUCCGGCAAGCAGG